GCUCCGAAAUCUCCUCUCUUCUCCAAUUCUCCUCUCUUCUCCUCUCCUCACCGGUCACACCGCUCCGAAAUCGUUCUCCACCAAAGCUUCACUACCAGGAUGCGCUGCCUCCGCCGCACAGCCGCCCACCUGCUCUGCUACGCGAGGACUGUCCCCGCCAAUGAAGCCCGCAUGGCGUUCGACCAAAUGCUUCUUCCGCCUACCACCGUCCUGUGUCGCCCGCCGCGCGUGCACGCCGGCCACAUGCUCGACGGAAUGCGCGGCUCGCGGUUCUGCACCCAGGCGGGAUCUACCGGCACCCACGAGCUCGCCAUGGGCCAGAAGUUCACGGUGGUCCCUGGCUCCGACGGCUCCGAGGCGGCAGAGAAGGUCUGUCGCAUCGCCGUGGACCAGCAGUUCACGGUGGUCCCGGGCUCCGACGUCUCCGAGGUGGCAGAGAGGGUGUGCCGCGUUCUCUCCACCCAGCCGGAACCGACGGUGGCGCCGGCUCUUGACGCGCUUGGGGUGCCCAUGUCGCGGGAACUUGUGGCAGAGGUGCUGAAGAACCUGAGCAACGCCGGCGUGCUAGCCCUCACCUUCUUCCGGUGGGCGGAGAGGCAGGAAGGCUUCGUGUACACAGCCGAGAGCUUCCACAACCUGAUUGAAGCGCUCGGCAAGAUAAAGCAGUUCAGGCUGGUGUGGAGCCUGGUCGAGGCUAUGCGGUGCCGCGGCUUGCUUUCCAAGGACACAUUCAGGCUCAUCGUCAGGAGGUAUGCCCGGGCAAGGAAGGUCAAGGAAGCCAUCGAGACGUUCGAGAAGAUGGGCGGUUUUGGGCUGAAAACAGACUUGUCAGAUUACAACUGGCUGAUCGAUGUGCUGAGCAAAUCCAAGCAAGUCAGGAAGGCGAAUGCCAUCUUUAAGGACAUGAAGAGGGAUGGAAAGUUUGUGCCUGAUCUGAAGACCUACACUAUCCUCAUGGAAGGCUGGGGCCAUGAGAAGGACUUGUUGAUGCUCAAGUCGGUGUACCAAGAAAUGCUGGAUGCAGGCAUUAAGCCUGAUGUCGUGGCGUACGGGAUGCUCAUCAGUGCCUUUUGCAAGUCCGCCAAAUGUGACGAGGCCAUCAAGGUGUUCCAUGAGAUGGAAGCCACCGGUGUCAUGCCAAGCCCUCAUGUGUACUGCAUGCUUAUCAAUGGUCUUGGCUCAGAGGAGAGGCUGGAUGAAGCUUUGAAGUUUUUCGAGCUUUCUAAGUCCAGCGGGUUUCCCAUGGAGGUACCUACAUGCAAUGCGGUUGUUGGGGCUUACUGCAGAUCCUCAAAGUUCGAGCAUGCCUUCAGGAUGGUUGAUGAGAUGAGAAAGAGUGGAAUUGGACCAAAUUCCCGGACUUAUGAUAUUAUUUUGCAGUAUCUUAUAAAAUCUCAGAAGAUAGACGAGGCUUAUAAUGUUUUCCAGGAAAUGGGUAGGAGUGGCUGUGAACCUCAGAUCAACACAUAUACAAUAAUGGUUGGUAUGUUCUGCAGUAAUGAAAGGGUUGAUAUGGCCUUAAAGGUGUGGAACCAGAUGAAGGAGAAGGGUGUUCUCCCAUGUAUGCACAUGUUUUCCGCGUUGAUCAAUGGGUUAUGCUUUGAGAACAGGCUGGAAGAAGCCUGCAUCUAUUUCCAGGAGAUGUUGGACAAAGGAAUUAGGCCACCUGCUCAGCUUUUCAGUAAUUUGAAGCAAGCUCUUAUUGAGGGAGGAAGGAUUAGUUUGGCACAAGAGAUGGCUUUCAAGUUGGAUACGUUACGGAAAACACCUUUGCGUCCUUGAGGAAACAUGCAAAUGAUUUUGUUCAGAAGCUUCAGAAUAAGUCAUUUACUAACGAGGAGGAGUUGCAAGUGAUGCAAGACAUCGCUGAAGAAUUCACACUCCCUUUUAACAUCUAGGCAAUCAAAUGGAAGAUAACUGGUGUACUUCAAAAUAAAAUGCAUAUUUUAGUGAACUUAACGAAUUAUGUCACCCAUCCCUUUUUAUUGAAAAGGCUGAUGGGAAAGGAUGGAUCCCACAUGGCUGGUGGAACUGAUCAUGAUUGGGGGCAUGCUGACUUGGGGCUUAAAAAUCUGGGCCUGGAGAAAGCAGGGACUGAGUCAGUUAGCACCUUAAAUGGUAAAAUAGUAAACAAGGCAAGAUAGUAUUGCUGAAGUUAUUAUAAGCCUGGAGAGCAACGAGUGAGAAGUUUGCUAAAGAAGAUAGUAUUGGUUUGUAUAAUCAAGCAAGAUAAAUAGGAGAGUUUGCACAGUCGAUUGAAGAUAGGCAGCAAAUGCCAAAGAAGAAGGCGGUGAAUAUGCGGCCUCCCUAUGUUAAGCCAAACACUAACAUGAAAUCUGACAAAUCAAGCUGCAAAUGGUACAGGCAUGAUGAUGCACUUCAGCCUGUUUCCAUCGGAAGGAAAAUCACAGUCACCUGCAUAUAGUUAUCUGGACGAUGAAGUGACUAGUGAUGAAAGAUGGCAAACCAAACACAUGGUGGCCAAACAAGACACUCAAGCAACAGGAAUGGUUGCCCUGACUACUACGAAAAAUCCUGUUCAAUGAAAUGAAACGCAACAUCUCUUGCGUUUUCUCGAAAAAAAAACAUUCAGGUAGGCAAAAUAGAUCAGCAAGCAGCAGUGACUACCAAACAGAGGAAGAUUAGACGGAUAAUGCAAUUGAUUUCGGCAAUCUUCUACUGUGAGCACCUAGUUUGCAUCAGAAUCACAGGAGCAGGAGUUCUCAUCCCCGUGAAGGAGGCCAUGACAACGAGGAAAGGCUCAUGGAUAAGCUUCUGAGGCAAGGGCAUAGACAGUGAGGAUAACAAGACCAGGACAGAAUCCUGGACACCUCAAGCUCGAACCAAUCAACGUGCUGAUGGCAAUGGGGAGCGAUCCAACAGAGAUGGAGGUUCAAUCCUUCAGAAAUAGCCAUAUGGCUGCCCACAGUAUCUGAAUCCCCAAUUGCGAAGCUGAAGGCUCGUCGUCCCGCUCGGUCCAUUUUGCUGCAGCUGGACACGUCUAGGGGAAAUGUACUCCUUGGUCAGGUAAACUUCGACAAACUGGCUGCACGCAUCAGCGCUCUGAAGAAGGCUUGAUCUUCCUGCUGCAGAAUAUCAAUAGUCGUCGACAUCGACGAGAGCUUGUUCGUUCAGUUUGACAACUGUGUUUGUUAUCACCGCUCCAUCUCAUUGUCCGCCGUGCUGCCGGAGAAGCCUCUCAAGGCGCCCAAGGUGCAAAAGAAAGAGUACGACGAGAGUGAUCUGGGGAACCUCCUGAAGAACAGAGAGAAUGAGAAGGCUCUCAAGGAGCUCAAGGCUAAAGCUGCACUGGGCGCGCUCGGAGAAAAAAAAAGGACGUACCCAGUGCUGAGGGCUCCCGCACUGUGCGGGGUCUGGGGGCACUGGGUGCGCUCAGAGAAAGAGCGGCAAAAAAUGAUCUUCCGCCACAACUUAUCUUUCUACUUAGUUAGAAGCUUCUGAAGAAAAUGGCCGAGAACCUUCGCUUGGAAGAUUCUCAACUCAUAUUGACAAACAAUGCUCCAAAUGUGGUCUUGAAGAGAAUGAGGUACACCUUUUUUUCCUUUGCCCAUUUGCAAAAGCUGCCUGGUUCAGCUCUCCAUGGCUCUUAAGAUCCGAAGUUUAUUUUGCAAAUCGUGGCUCAGUUCCUGCAGUUAUUGAGGCUAUCUUGUCUUCUGGGCAUCCCAAUGCUUCGACUACUAAUCUGUAUACGUUCUUGUGGUGCCUUUGGAAGUCUACAAAUGAUAAUCCUUUUGGCAGGAAAUCAAACAAACCAUUUCAGGUACAUGCAGCAGCCAAGGCAAUCCUUCAGGGCGUUAGGACUGAUGAUGAGCUCACUCCUACAGAAGUGCAUGCUUCCAUAACUCAGGACAAACAGUGCACCUCUCUCCAACAGGGAUCUUCGUUCUUCGGUAUCGGAACCCUCCAAACUUGCAGGACCGGUAUUCUACGUCGAUGCUGCUUGGUCGCCUUUGCAAGGACAAAAUUCAGCACCAGCAGGCAUUGGCAUCUUCAUACAACAUACAGGACUGACUCCCAGCAGCAACAGCUUCAUCUCGGCGAUGUCCCCGCAUGUCUCAUCUGCUCUACAGGCCGAAGCAUUUAGAGUCCAAUUAGCUGUCAGAAUCGCAGAGCUGUUAUGCUCUGAGCAACCCAUAUUUUUGACAGACAACAGGACGCUAUCUGUUGCGGCAGCAGCCAACAAUCCCGUUGGUGCCCUGGACACAGGCAUAUUGCACCUCAACUUGCAGCCAUUUUUAGUACAUCUGCUUUCAGGCAACAUAAUUUUAAGGCGCACCAUCAAGCCAAGUUAGCACUCAGGCUUCUCAACAAGGAUGUUAUUUUCAGGUGUUUAUGCAAUUCCCAGCAGCCUGGAACAUGUCCAGUGCGCGGAGCUCUGUCUGAAUUGGCUGUUCAGCCAUUCAAACUAGUAUCUGUAAAAUGUUGUUAAAUCAAUAAAAUAAUCCCAGUUCAA
Molecule: RNA transcript, 4474 nt
Organism: Lolium perenne
Lineage: Eukaryota; Viridiplantae; Streptophyta; Magnoliopsida; Poales; Poaceae
Source: RefSeq, a predicted model, not a curated record